AACGAACGCUGGCGGCAUGCCUAACACAUGCAAGUCGAACGAGACCUUCGGGUCUAGUGGCGCACGGGUGCGUAACGCGUGGGAACCUGCCCUUAGGUUCGGAAUAACUCCCCGAAAGGGGUGAUAAUACCGGAUAAUGUCUUCGGACCAAAGAUUUAUCGCCUUUGGAUGGGCCCGCGUUGGAUUAGCUAGUUGGUAGGGUAAAAGCCUACCAAGGCGACGAUCCAUAGCUGGUCUGAGAGGAUGAUCAGCCACACUGGGACUGAGACACGGCCCAGACUCCUACGGGAGGCAGCAGUGGGGAAUAUUGGACAAUGGGCGAAAGCCUGAUCCAGCAAUGCCGCGUGAGUGAUGAAGGCCUUAGGGUUGUAAAGCUCUUUUACCCGGGAUGAUAAUGACAGUACCGGGAGAAUAAGCUCCGGCUAACUCCGCG
Molecule: ribosomal RNA, 433 nt
Filed under: uncultured bacterium
Lineage: Bacteria
Description: partial 16S ribosomal RNA
Rfam family: Bacterial small subunit ribosomal RNA
Source: RNAcentral